AUUGAACGAUGGCGGGAGGAAGAACAAAGGCAAGUCGAACGGUAACAGGAAGAAGAUGGCUUCUUUGCUGACGAGUGGCGGACGGGUGAGGAAUGUCUGGGAAACUGCCUGAUGGAGGGGGAUAACUACUGGAAACGGUAGCUAAGACCGCAUAACGUCGCAAGACCAAAGAGGGGGACCUGCGGGCCUCUUGCCAUCGGAUGUGCCCAGAUGGGAUUAGCUAGUAGGUGGGGUAACGGCUCACCUAGGCGACGAUCCCUAGCUGGUCUGAGAGGAUGACCAGCCACACUGGAACUGAGACACGGUCCCGACUCCUACGGGAGGCAGCAGUGGGGAAUAUUGCACAAUGGGCGCAAGCCUGAUGCAGCCCUGCCGCGUGUAUGAAGAAGGCCUUCGGGUUGUAAAGUACUUUCAGCGGGGAGGAAGGGAGUCAAGUUAAUACCUUUGCUCAUUGACGUUACCCGCAGAAGAAGCACCGGCUAACUCCGUG
RNAcentral lists this ribosomal RNA (490 nucleotides) under uncultured bacterium. Its description in RNAcentral is "partial 16S ribosomal RNA". It matches the Rfam family "Bacterial small subunit ribosomal RNA", at positions 29 to 507 of the family's 1533-position model. The record is from RNAcentral.